UGGGCUUCAUUUUUUGCCCUAAGGCAAUGAGGUUAUCCUGAUGCUGAGGAAUCUAUGGCAAAUUUUCCUUUCUCCCUCAAACUAUCCUGUCAACCUUUUCAUAUUAGAAGGCAGAGAAUGGAAAAUACACAUACACAUUCUCCUUUAAAAAAAAAAAAUACAAGGAGCCUUGAGAAAUGGACAUGAUCCGUGUAUUUCUUGACCUCUGAGAUACCAUGGCUAAUCCCAACCAACCUGCAGAAAUACUGCUUCUGGAAGUUCCAUUUGCCUCCAUUCUGAGUGCUUAUUAACCCUGAAACUUUUGUCAGCUCAGGAAAAAGCAAAAGGUUCUAAACUAACUGGCUGCGCAGUGGAACACCCUUGUUCACCUCCUCACUGGGCUCCUGGGCCUCCAACUCCUGCCCUUCAGGUUCUAGGGUCCCGAAAUCAGGAUGGGUGUUUCAGUUGAUGCAUGCGUUUGAUGUGGUUGUGUUUCUUUUCCUCCGCCUAAAAGCAGUUAUUAAAAUGAUGGCGUUUGCAGAUCUAGAUUUGAAAGAAAAGAAUAA
This 545-nucleotide long non-coding RNA is filed under the name Homo sapiens (human). Its description in RNAcentral is "HSALNT0377543". Lineage: Eukaryota; Metazoa; Chordata; Mammalia; Primates; Hominidae. The record is from RNAcentral.